CCAACCACCAUCUGCUAAGUGUGCUACAUGCC
This 32-nucleotide non-coding RNA is filed under the name Homo sapiens (human). The record is from RNAcentral. Lineage: Eukaryota; Metazoa; Chordata; Mammalia; Primates; Hominidae.